AUGUAAUUGAAAACUGAACUUUUC
This 24-nucleotide non-coding RNA is filed under the name Arabidopsis thaliana (thale cress). Lineage: Eukaryota; Viridiplantae; Streptophyta; Magnoliopsida; Brassicales; Brassicaceae. The record is from RNAcentral.